Panicum virgatum (switchgrass) is the source of this 5033-nucleotide long non-coding RNA. RefSeq lists it as uncharacterized. The record is from RefSeq and is a predicted model, not a curated record. The transcript has 2 exons. NCBI's taxonomy places the organism in Eukaryota, Viridiplantae, Streptophyta, Magnoliopsida, Poales, Poaceae.
AUAUAAGUGGUCUCGAACUUGAGACUGAGGAGUGGGCCCGCCCGAGCCUGGACCAUCUCCUUUUUCCGCCAGCCUCAUCACAUCCAUGGCGAAGCCCUCCCCUUGAACUGCAAAUACCACAGCUGCUAGCCUGGCGGCCUGCUACCUCCAAGUCCAAGCCCCCCGCCUGAUGUAGGGCUAAUGGAGCGCGCACGCGGAGAUGCCCUCGCGGCGGAGCGAUCCGUCCAGGUAAAAUAACGGUUGUAUUCUGUCAGACUAAAUAUUAACUGAUAUGACCAAUAUGUCAUGCUAUUUACCAGUAUCUACUACUCUGGUUUCUUGAAAUGAUAUGAUAUAUUGGUCUCAUGCCUGUUGGGCAUGUGUUGAUACAACCUAGAGGGUUCGGGCCUUGGGGGCCUUGGGCUAUUGGCAUGUGCUGUAAAAUAUUGUAGGUAUUUGUUUUACUCAUCUCUAGAUGAUAAAAAAUUUGUUUGCUUAAACUUCAUCCUUUUAUCUUUUUGUAUUUUUAAUACUCAAUUGUCACCUCUUGAUGUGCAUUUAAUUUCCUGAUGCUUCCUUUGCCUAGAUUCAUAGUUACCGUAGAUUGAUCCAUCCUGUCUCUGGAUGGCCAUAACCAUUGCUAGCAGUACCCCUCUCUGCACGUGCUACAUACUCCACCAAAUUGCAGUGCAUAGUGUGCUGUAGUGCUGCUAUUUGUGUGGCCUAUGCCUACUAGCUCUCUUUUCUGUAGUAAGCUAGCAACAGAAAGUGCUAAAGAAUGUGUUGUGGUUUUCAAAUUUGUUUAGCUGCUAGGUCUUUAAUGGACCUGCUUGGUUGCUACAUGCUACCCUGCAUGUAUCAUGAUAUGGAUGUGAAGAUAGCACUGUAAUCGUAUUACCAUCUCGCCCUAUAAAAAUGACCUGUGUAGAAACUUGGUUCUGGCAAAUUGUUCAUACUUUUGUUUGCAUUUUUGUUUCCAUUUGAGCUAUUGGAGUACAAUCUUGUCUUAAUAUGUUAGUAUGCUAUUCUUAUAUAAAUCAAUAUGGUGCUGGUCCAUUUCAGAAUAGGAAGUACCUUGUAUAGGUUGAUAUCUGAUUGAAUUAACCUAGUAUUAUUUUGUUUGGAUAUGCAUCUGAUGGUAGAAAGCUAGAAAUCACAACUGCAUAACUUGUAAGUUUUCUCAAUGACUUGAUGUAUUAUGAAUAAAGAUUGUUCAUCCAUUUGUAUUUCUCCAGCACUGUUUUUCAUUGGCCAGAAUCAUGUUUUUGUUGAUUACCAUUAUUGCUUACAAUAUGGUCCUUGUUGUAUGUGAUUAUGCAAUAGUAAGCUUGGUGAUUCAUGUUUUGAAGCUUUGCAUGUCUAAGAUUCCCCCCCUUCUAAUUCACUUCUUAUCCAAAAUAAGUUAAGUGUGCUAUAUUUUGCUUUUCUUCAUAUUGUAAACUAUAUAAACAAAAUCAUCUUGACACUGGGCAGUGUCCUCUGUACACAUAGAUUCCGCCUAACCAGGGCUUGUGCUAAGAGCCUAAGCAUUUCUGUUUGUGGCAUAAGCAGUACUUAAAUUUGAGACUGAGUGAACAUUUUGGGUAGUAUAUGUAGUAUGGUGAACAUUGUGAGUUUGAAGUUGAAGAUCAUUGUACGAAAAUCAUCUGUUAUAUUCAGUACCUUGUGCAGCUUUUUUUUUUAUGCAUUUCAGAAGUUAUGCAUUUGUAUCCUUCCUGCUUAUAAUCAGCACAGGGUCAUAUUAUAUAUCGAAUGUGUUACCAACUAGUGUUGAACCUUAUCGGCUGCAUAUAUUUCAUAAUUAGAAUUCACAAGACACACGUUUUUUAUACCAAUAGAUACAUGGCAUGGAGUCUACUGUCUCUGAAUGGAUUACAAGCUGUGUUUGAGUGAUUUUCAAGCAACAUAAUAUGAAAAACUGGACUACAAAAUGUUAUGGUCAUGCAGAAAUUAUUGCAUCCAGAAGCAUUGAAGUUUAGCUGGUAGGUCCUGUAAUUCAACCCAAGAUUCUAGGUUGCUGAUCUCUUAGUUUUUGUCAUCGUCACUGCAAUUUAAAUCUGAUGCACUUUCAGUCAACUACCUCAACUCAUGUGCUAUGCUGAAUCUAUAUUUGAAUUUGAACAAGAACUCACCCCAGAGUUGGUGUUCCUGACUUCUCUGAAUCCACAUUCUGUGGCUGACUUAGCUCAAGAUUAACUGCAACAUCUUCAUCCUCCAAAUCCACAAUUCCGUGUUUAAUGGCAGUACCUGUCGGAUGCUCAUUAACUCCUUGUCCAUACACCUGAGAAACGAGAAAGAAAUGAUAUUAUGUGAUUCCAUAUACUGGUGUGUGGAUAAAAUGAGAUGAAAAAAAAAUCAUAUCUUGUAUAAGCUUCAUCUCUGUUUGGCAAUAUGUUGCUGGAUGCAUGCACCUUUUUCUUUAAUUCGGUGUUCUCUUGAUGAAUACGGUUGAGUUUGUUGUAUAGUUCGAUGUUUUCCUUGUGUACAAGGCUCCCCUACAAUCCAAAAAAAAUUGUGUAGUCAAGUAAAAUACAAUAGAACAAAUUAGUACUGCUAAGUAAGCUGUGCGAACAAACCUUUGUAUUUAAUUCUUGAAUUUGAUCAGUCAUAAGUUGGUCCUGUAAAAUAAACAUUCAAAAGUAACCAAGCCAUUAAUGUUUGUAUUCUGAAAGAACUAUAUGAUCAUGGUGAUGUCUCCACAGAUUGUGAUGUAACCUUCUUCAGGCGAAUAUUUCUUAGGCUCAUCUCCAGCGUAUUCUCUAAGUUUUGUAAGUCUUUUACAUCCAAGCCAGAAAGCUGUUGACCCAUCAAUUGCCUGCAGUGACAUAUUGUAUGGCAGAUCGUUUAGGCUUUUCUAAAAAUUCGCACGAUAUCGUAUAACUGUAUUUCAAGAUUUUUAAGAAAGCACUAAAUAAUUGUCUUUAUUUUGAACUUCUUUCAUUUUUAUUAUAUUUAAUACAAGUGAGUGCAAUUUGUUACUCAUUGAGUUUUCGAGAAAAAAAAUAAUUGUUGCUUGUGGACGUUUAGUGUAAGGAUUCCUCAAUUGCACUAUGCUGAAUUGGAAUGAACAGAUACAAACACUUUUGUGUGUGUGUGUGUGUGUGUGUGUGUGUGUGUGUGUGUGUGUGUGUGUGUGUGUGUGAGGAUCCCAAUUUAAUCAAGUAAAGAAAUAGAGCAGACUGUAGCUUAUUGGUAUAUUAGAAAAGGUUGAGGAGCCAUAGGAAAUUGCAGCACAUCUCAGUAUGGAUAAUUUACCUAAAUAUGAUAUGACUUAUUUGCUAACGAACACAAGUAGCAGAUUGAUAACUCCCUAGCUUGCCCUCACUAGAGGCUCUGAGCACCUAGGAACUAUCUAUCUGCCUAAUCCCCUCCUAUAGCCGCACAUUGGCUUAUAAAGAGAGUCCUAAGCAUAACAACUUAUCCCUAAAACUUAGCCAAGCCUAACAAUCGGCUGAAACAAACUCCAACCACUUAUUCUAAUUAUUUGUGGACACUGGCGCCUUCUUCCUGUGCUGGUAUUUCUUGCCAAAGAAAGUGUCCACAACAAAAUACCCAUAAAUUCAAACUUUGUUUUUGAUGACCUAAGCUUCCUGAAUUUAGCAGGAUAGAGUAAUCUCAUAACGAGCUGAUUAUUUGUUUUGGUUAAUUCCAUGGUGGAGCAUAAGAUGAAAAUUUGAUACCCCCCCCUCCCAACCAAUUGCUGUUUCCUCAGAAUGGGUAAAUUUGUUCAGUACUGAUCACUACCAUUAUUAUGCUAGAAAUAGGAAGCAAAAUGCAAUGAUACUCAUUAUGAUUUGCAAGUAUUGCAGGUUGGUUGAGGAUCAUACAGGUGAUGCUCUUGCAAGUUAUGCAUUUGCUGCCUCAGGAUUCCUGCCUCCCUUUGCCAAAGCUAGUAAGAGAGAGUUUUCAGUUAAUAUUGAUGAAAAACUUGCAGCCAUAUGUUGUGUAGGAACUCAAGAAAUAAUAAAUAAUAUGAAAUCAGACGCCACAAGGAUAUGUAAAUACAAUAUACAAUGCAUUGUUGUGAACUAGCAGUUCAUAUGAACAUUCAGAACAGUACAGGUGCUGAUGGGGUCUGCAUUUUAUCAGUUGCUGGCUUGGGCUCAGGGAGCCAAAUGAAUAGCAUGGUCUGCAUUCUGCAUUCUUCUAAACUAUUUUCUUUUUUUUGAGACUAUUCUUGGUUAUUAUGGUUUCAUGCUACUUGGAAACAAAUCGAGAAGUGAUGUCUUGGUGCUUCCAGGUUAUUGUUGUUAGCACUUAAACCAUGGUUGAUUAGAACCACCUUUUUCCUGACUGCAAUUGUCAAUAGUUCAGAGUCAAUACAUGAUGCUAUGAAAGUUCUGGAGGAUGAAGGUAGGAUAGGGAGAAACAUUUGUUUCGGUGCUUGUUACUUAUGCCAGCAGAGUUAGUAGAUAUAGCUCAUGAUGCUUCAUUUGCACCAUUUUAAUAUUUCAUAGCAUUGAAGUCAUCAACAGAUCGAUGAUACAGUGAUCAGGAUCAUCUGUCUGAUCGAUGAUCUAAUGGUUACUAAGAGCAGACACGGUUGCUGAGCAUUCAAGUUUCUUCUGCUUAUUAUUUAUGAAUCAGUUAUGCUAAGGGAUGCUAUUUUUGCUAAUGCAUGGUGCUCUAUUUGUCAGAAAUCAAGUAUCAACUGCAUACUGCCUAUGCGCUAUUGUUUAUCUGGAAGCUCAUUUGUGUUCCUCAGAUUUUAGUUCGUAAAGCGGAUGAUUCCACUUCCCUUUGAGAUAAUCAAAACCGUACCCUGUCAGCUCAUUCCAUUUCAACCUGUGGAUUGUAAUACAAGUUUGUACUGCAUCCUGUUUGAUUUUACCUUCCCAGAGAAAGGGGUCUACAUUCUUUUGAUUACUUGGCAAUGUGUUGGACUUCGUGUUAUUAAGCAAUGUGUUUGUAGCCAGAAAGCCACUUCCCUAGUCUGAUUACCCUGUUAGCGCAGAAAUUUCAGGGUGCCUAAAGUACAGGUUUUAUUAUUGUGUACUGGUAAGUUAUUAGAAUGCCAUUGUGAGAAUAAAACUGGUUAGCAUUUUAAAAUAUUA